Non-coding RNA from Gasterosteus aculeatus aculeatus (three-spined stickleback), 163 nucleotides. Lineage: Eukaryota; Metazoa; Chordata; Actinopteri; Perciformes; Gasterosteidae. The record is from RefSeq and is a predicted model, not a curated record.
AGGGACUUCAUCAGAGCCAGUCACUCCAGAAGAUUUAAGUGCCUUCAUAAAAUAUUCUGAUGGUAAAAUUAGUCUUUUGGAGCCUCCUGUCCCAACAGAACCACAGGCAGUUGAUGAUGGGGAUGAAGAAACAGUUUCUGCUGCCACAGAAAUGCCUACAGAG